UUUUCAAAGUACCACUUUUCAUAUUUACACUAACCACUUUUACCCUCAUCUCUAACGAAGGGUAAAAGAGAUUUAUAACUUUUUGAUUACCUUUGAUAAAAAAAUAUAUGGUUAACUAAUCUAAACUUAAAACAUCAACUCUAAACCCUAAAUCAUCAACUCUAAACCCUAAACCAUAACCCUAAAUCAUGAAACAUCAACUCUAAACCCUAAAUUCCGAAACAUAACUCUAAACCCUAAACCCUAAAACUUCAAAUCUAAACCCUAAAACAUCAACUCUAAACCCUAAACGUAAACCCUAAACCCUAAAUCUAAACUUAAAACAUCAACUUUAAACCCUAAAUCAUCAACUCUAAACCCUAAACCCCGAAACAUCAACUCUAAACCCUAAACCCUAAACCCUAAACCUUCAAAUCAAACCCUAAAACAUCAACUCUAAACCCUAAAUGUAAAUUCUAAACCCUAAACCUUAUAUUUUUCUGAAAUUCGAACCCUAAACCCUAAAACCCUAAACCUUCAAAUAUAAAACCUAAAACAUCAACUCUAAACCCUAAACAUAAACCCUAAACCCUAAAUCUUCAAAUCUAAACCCUAAAACAUCAACUCUAGGGUUUUAGGGUUUAGGGUUUAGGGUUUAGAGUUGAAGGUUUAAAGCUUAGGGUUUAGAGUUGAUGUUUUAGGGUUUAUGGUUAUUUUUUUUGGGUUUAGGGUUUAGAGUUUACUUUUUAGGGUUUAGGGUUUAGUGUUGAUGGUUUAGGGUUUAGAGUUGAAGUUUAGGGUUUAGAGUUGAUGUUUUAGGGUUUAGAGUUGAAGGUUUAGGGUUUAGAGUUUAGAGUUGAUGUUUCGGGGUUUAGGAUUGAGUUGAUGUUUCAGGGUUUAGGUUUUAUUUAAAAAAAAAUAGGGUUUAGGAUUGAUGGUUUAGGGUUUAGGAUUCGUAUUUCAAAAAAAAAUAGGGUUUAGGAUUGAUGGUUUAGGGUUUAGAGUUAAGUUUUAGGGUUUAGGGUUUGAAUUUCAAAAUAGUAUAAUUCAGAAAUUUUUUUAUUUUUUUAGAUUUUUAUUUUUUUAAAUAUUUAUUUAUUAUAUAUAUAAAGAACAGUGACAUAAGAGUCUUUUGCCACUUAAUGAAUAAGAUAUUUUUGAAAAUGUCUCUUUAGUGGUGGUAAAAAUGAAAAGUGGUAGCAUGAAAGUGGUAAAUAUGUAAUUUUCCCAUAAGAAUUUUUUUUUCUUUUAAAUCGUGACGGGAGAAAAUUGUAAAAUUUUAUUUAAUAGUAAUUUCUACUUCAAAAAUUUAAUGAUAAACAUGAUAGUAACAAUUAUUCAAUUAACAAAAAAAAUUGUAAAAAACGAAUUUUGAAAAUUGCAACUUUUAAAAAUAGUUAAUAUUAACUGGAAAUAGUUAUUUGAUAGAAAUUGUUUUUUAAAUCCUAGACAAAAUAUAAUUGUAAAAUAUUAUGUAAUAUUAAUUUCCUUUUCUAAAAUCCUACAAAACUGUAAAAGAAUAUUUGAUAGUUAUUUUUCUUUUCUUUUUAUAAAGAAAAAUCCUAAACAAAAGAAAAUUGUAUAAUAGUUUUAAGUCCUAACCAAAAGAGAAGUGUAAAAAAUUAUUUGAUAUUAUUUUUUAAGAGAGUGUUUGAUGAUGAACAUGAUAGUGUAAAAUUAGUAUUGAUACGAUUUGUAAAAAUAGUAAUUUUGAAAAUAUUUAUUUAUAACUAAAAAUAAUUAUUUGAUAGCAAUAUUCUUUUCUGAAAUUCUAGAAAGAAGAAAAUUGUAAUAGGUUAUAUGACAAUAAUUUACCUUCUAAAUCUUAAACAAAAUUGUAAAAGAGUAUUUAAUAUUAUUUUUUAUUUUUAAUUGUAAAUAAAAUGAAGAUUAUAGAAUAGAAUGUUUUUUAAAAAAAAACCUAGCAAAAUAAAUAUUUAAGGACUUAUUUAAUAAAACAUUAAAUUAGUACAUAAGAACAUGUAUAAUGUUGUCAUUGAUUCGAUUGGUGUAUUUAACUUUCAUUUCUUUUUACUUUUCAUUUUUUUAUUUCAGAUUGUGUUCAGUUUAAAUGUUUAUGUAUAGUAUUUUCUCUAAUCAUUAGUAUAAAUUUUAUAACAACUCAUCUAAGCACCAUAAUUAUAAAAUACAAAUAUUAACUUGAACUUAUGUGUGAAAACGGAUUUUAAUUAUAAAAUAAAUCUCAAACAACAUAUUCAAAAAACAAUCAUAAUACUAUAAUAAAAUGAUUUAUUAUUUUAUGGUUUUAAUUAAAUCAAAACAUCAAACAAAACCCAACGCAACGGGCUCAUAUCUUGUUACUAAUAAGGUUCGAUCCAAAAGAGCUUUUUUUUCUAUUUGGUUUACUAAAUCUAUACUAUUAAAAGGGAACGUUUCCUAAAAAAAUCUAAUUAAAAAAAGUUGUUACACUUUUUCAUUUUUAGUCCAGUUUAUUAUAUACAAUCAAAUAUUAUAACCAACCCCUACUAUAUAACAACCAAAUAAUAUUUUCUAACAUUUAUAAAUAUAUGUAACCUCUCCUUUAAUUUCAAUUUUUUUUGUGACCCACUUAUCUUAUCUGCAUAUAAAAAUGCUUAAUGGUUACCAAACGUACUUACCUAUAGUAUCUACAACUUAUAACAUCUACCAUCAAUGAUAUAUCAAUAUCAACACUAUUAAAAGCAAAUUAUAGCAGACAUUGUGGACAACGUAGAAGGUUUUGUAUUAUGUUCUUAGAUUAUUGUUGGGAUUGCAAUAUUAAAUUAGAAAAAAUGUGCCAGGUAAAUCUUAAAUCUCAUCAGCUUAACAAUAACUCUUAUAAAAUGUUUUUUUUUUUUAAAUUAAAGAACUUUUUGACUCUAGGACUAGCCAUUAGUAACAACAACAAAAAAACCUCAAAUACAAAAGUCAAAAUUAUGAGAUGUUUAUUUAAGCCUAAUACAAGCCCAUUAGGACGUAUAAUAGUAUAAGCCCAUCUUCAUUUAGUCAGAAAAGUCACGUGCACCUAUCAGGUGAUUUUUUUUUUGGCUUUAUCAAAUCCAAUAACACUUGGAGACGGAAGAGUAGGGUUUGUGUAAACGAGAGAUUUGAGAUGGCGCUUAGAGGAGUAUGGCAGCUCCAAAAGCUCGUAGUGAGCUACUGUAAUUGGGGAGGUAGCAGUAGAGGCAUAAGGUACCACCACCUAUUCUUUAUCAUCUAUCUAUCUAUACGAAUCUGGAGUUUGGACAACAUCUCAUGUUUAUAAGUUUGAGUCUACUGUUCUCUCUUUGAUGUAUCCAAUGUAAUGAAAUCGUUACCAUUUCAUAGUUAGGAACUAGUACUGAACAUGUUCCUUGUUGUUAAAUUAAUAUACAGAGCCUUUAUGGAAUCAGAGUUGCCUGCGCUUAUAGAGAAAAACCCGCAGCUCGAAGUGGCAACCGAGCUUUCAAGGGGGCAACAUCCUUACCUCAAGGGCAUAUACAGUAUGUAAUCUCUAACCUUUUCUUGCUUGUUGUAAUGUACAGGUAAUGUAAGGUUUCAGCGAUUUUAUAUACGGCUUUGUUGUAUAGGGAAUAGAAAUGAGAGGGUGGUGUGUGUGAAGAACAUGGAUCCUGAACAAGUGCUUUUGAAUGCAACGAGGCUUAGGAACUCACUUGGAAGGAAAGUGGUGAAGCUGAGGACUAGACAUGUGACCAAGCACCCCAGUGUUCAAGGCACUUGGACAACCGCUGUCAAGUUCUGACAACUUUGGAUGUUGCAAGUAUUCAUCCUUGUUAUCUUACAUUUGCAGUCCUGAGUUGUUUCUACUUCUAUUUGGACAAAGAUUCAGCUUCAGUUGUUUGAGUCUUAAUAAGAUUUCAGGAGGGUUUAUGGUAAAUUUCAUAGUUAUAGUAGUUCUCGGUAUUUUAGCAUCUUACCAAUACAGAGAGGACUCAAACUUUUCAUUUUUUUUUUGUUAUUUGUCACUAGUACAAGAAAUCAGACAAGCCCCCUUGUAAUACGACAACAUAUACAUGUAAAAAAAACUUAGUAGACUGGAGGAUGGAGACUGUGAGAAGCUGUUUUGAUUUUAGUAAAUUAGGAGCUUAUGUCUUCUGGUAUUGAAGGUAACGAAGCAGAGUUGUUGUCUAUAUCCCCCCGGCUGGUUGAGGAUGAGUGUGACUUGAGAUACGACGAUGCCACUUCUAGCAUCACUUCCACUUCUUUCUUGUACUGUGUUACAAAGUAUCAAAAACCAAAUGCAUCAUAAUAGGCCUAUUACAGCGGAAUCUUAAGCUUAGUCGAUCGGAAUAAGGACAUAAACUAACCUCAUCAAUUGCUCCUGCUUUAAUCUUCGAUUGCAUCAAGCACCAUUUCUUGAAAUGUACACCUAUACAUGAAUACAAGAGAUCAUCUCAUACAUUGUGCCAUUGCAAGUUUUACUCUGACUAGUGAACACACUUUGGAAUAAGUGGAAACCUUGAAAGGAUACUUACCAACUCUUAUAUCAAUUACAGAGGAAGUCUCCUCUUUUGCUUCCAAUCGCCAUCGGCAAUGGACCUGAUACAGACAUGAUUAAGAAGCAUGCCAAGCUGAAAUGAAUGAUGGGUUGCAAAGAGAAUGAUGAACUCAGAACCAGAUUUUACUCAUAGAUUAAUGUACCUCAAAGUAAGAACCAAAAGGAACAUCAUGUGGCUGUUGCACAGUUUCAAAAACCUGGAAGACAGGAAGAUAUAAGUAUUAUCAGAUCGAUAUCAUUUUUUUUUCGUUUGUAGAAUCUGAACAACAUUAUCAAUUACUACCCUUCCAAGGGAAAGUUCAUUCUUACCAGCAUUUUCUUAUCUGGUGACAGAACAACAUGCUGCCAUUCCGUCACAGCAGUGUCUGGAGGACACAUAGGACUAUUACAAAUGGAUCUGAACUUAAUCUCUCUAACUUGACCAUCAUAUUCUUCAGCAGUAUGCCAAGGCUCUAUCUGAAAGAUCACAAAGUUACAUAUAUGUUUAAUCUAAAGAGCACAGCUAUUAGAAGGCCUGUGUAUGAAGGCUAAUGUUCUAGAUAGUAAUGUCAAAACUUACAUUAAGAUUCUUAUCCUUCCGUGCAGAUCUGUACUCAUUAGUAUAAGUGGAAUCAUCAGCCAACAAAAGGUUCAGGAAUUGCUCAGGUGUACUUGGGAAAACAUCCUGCAUACAAGAGUAUGAUGUCAUAAACUUCCAGAAAACAACUAUAGAUAGCAUUAACAAGAAGAAACAAAUGCUUACAUUACAAAUGCCGACAAGGACUUCUUCCUUGACAAAUGUCUGAAGCUUUACAGGUACAGCUGCAGUAUCUUCGGGAGCUUUCACUUGUACUUUACCACCUCCUCUCACAGAGCUACUGUGAGCACGCAAAGCAGAUUCUGCUCUCUCCUAUAGAGUAAAAAGCCAACAAAAAGGUGAAACAUGUUAAGUUUUCAGGUAGCCAGCCAAAUAGGAGAGAGACCUUCUUUUCAGCUUCUAACAUUGCGUGAUAAUUAUUAACUGCACGCUGCAAUGCUUUUUGUGUGUGGUUCCUGUUCCAAAACGAUGCAAAUUUAUACCUCACUCUACCUGAAAUAAAGAAGGUAUUCCAUAGAGACAUAAACAUGACAAAGCACCAUUACAGAUAAAAUUUCCAAAAACUAAACUUUGGUCGGUCCUACAGGUAAAAAAGGCUAUGCCAGAAACCAAAUGUGAAAAUAUUCUGAACUAACAUUAAAAAAAAAAUGUUUGCUGAAGAUGUAGAAAGACAUGAAGGUUGAUUUUAUCACAAAACUGAAAAUCCAGUAAUAAAAAUAAAUCUCUAACCAUCAGGAGUCCCAAGAGGGGGAACACCAUGUCCACCAGCGCCCAUCCGUAGUAUGAUUGUUAUAGCUGGGUUUAUCAAUGCAUGUUGACUUCUACGAAUCUAUAAUAAACAUUUACGCAUCACUAGCCCAGUUAUCCGUUUAAAUCAAUAGAAAUUCUGAGUGGUCAAGAAAAUAAUACUACCUCAUCUAUAUCUCCCAGAGGUAUAACUACCUGCAAAAUGAGAAGGAGAGGAAGUUUUAACAAUUGAUUCAUAGAAUUUAGAAUGUAGUUAUUAAACUAACAGAAGCACUAACCUUCAUUUGCUUAGAGAAAACAUUGGAGUGAAAACAUAUGUGCCACGCAGAAACAUAGAUUCGGCCAUGAUACAAGAAUGACCUCUCCAGAGCACAUGAAUAGGUGUGCUCAACUACCUAAGUAAAAUUGCAGGGAACAUAGUCAGAGUACUGAACAUAUAACAGGAAACCCAUCUUCAUGCACAUGAUUUCCUAACCCUCAUAUGAGAGCCUACAAUAGAUACCACAGUUAGUAACUUGGUUGUGACUAGCUUACCUCAUCAGGGAGGAGAUCAAAUAUCGUCUGCAGAGGCCCUGGCUUUUGAUGUACAAUUGUUGGACCUUGCUGAUCCAAUGAGACCCUUCUUCUACCAGCUCCAGCAUAUCCAGUUAUAGCCCUACCAAUGAAAAUCCAUUUUGUAAACACAACACAACCUCUUCUAAAUUUGUUAUGCUCUACUUUCUAAACAUGAUAAACCAUUUACUCGGAAUUACCUAGAAGCAUUCACUGGUAGUUUGAUCGCAUUAAUGUUAAGGCAAACCUGGCAAACAAAUUUGGAUUAGCCUCUAAAGAAACAAGAAGGCUUGACUUAAGAGCCUUCACUGGGAAAACAUGCAAACAGAAACUAGGAAUAUACAUACCUGUCCGGAUGGGCUAUCUAAUGAGUGCCACACUGGACCCGUCUGGCCUUCACGUUCGACGCUAAUAGUAACUGAGCCAAGGACAGUACUUUUCCAAAUUAUAUCCCAGUCAUGAAUUGUUACAUUGAUCUGACAUAACAAAACAUAUGGUACAUGUUAGAAAAUGCAUUUGGUAAACAUAAAAAAGGUGAUCAGAAUGUUUUGCAUCCGAAAUUAUCAAUCAAAAUAAGUGAUUUUCAGUAUUCUUUACCAAUUCAUAUGACAAUCAACCUUGUGCCUAGGGUACUUCACAUGAGAAAUCUAAACAAUCCAACUAAGUCCUAAAGCAUCUUAAAGUUGUGAAAGAUGAUAACCUUAACAGGAAGCUCAUCUGUAGGAAAGUUGAACUCUUCACCCCACAUUGGAUUCCUGGAGCCAGGGACCAUAGAACUGUAACAAGCAAAGAGAUAUAUUAGACAGACCAAAGUGUAAGCUUUCACUAAUAUACGUUCUUUUGUUCUUAACAAAGUUAUAAAAUCUAAAAAAAAUUGAAAAAGAAAAGGCCUUUUUCAUUACCUAAAUCGUUUUUCUGAUCCACAAUUGACAAUAGCAUAAGGAUCUGAUGUUCCAUUUAAAUUUGCACCAAUGAGAUUCUUAGCAGCCAGCAAUUCCACCUGGCAAACAAAAUGAAAUGUUAAUAUCCGACAUUAAUCUUUAAACUCUUCAGACACGCAGAUGAAACAUAAGAGCCAGUUUAAGACACUAACCUUGAUUAUGUAUGGAGCAUUUGUCUGAGUGUCUCCUCUCAACUGUCCUAUCUACACACAAAAAAAAUAAAUUGCACAAACUGCAAGUCAUAAACUUGUUUAUCACCCACAAGAUUUCUCAAGCUAUUACUACUAAAGAAACGUUUCAGUUUAGGAAAUCAAAAACCUUGUCUUUGGCAAAGAUGGCGUCACCACCGGAAUCUCGAUCAAAUCCAACACCGCCGUUAGCUUCGUCAUCUCCGUCGACUUUGUAAGCGAACAGCCAAUAAGAAACGAUCAAGAAAGCGGAAGCGGCCACCGCAACCUCAAUCUCCCACGUAGAAGGUACCAGGAACUCCACCCCCAACGGAACCAUCUCGAUUUUGAUAGAGUAAGUUGAUAAAAAUACGAAAUUUCUCCGGCGAUCAACGAGGUCUAGGGAUUCAUUUUUCCGACAAGUGGAAUCAACAGAGAAGAAAUGACUUUUGGAGAAGAAAGAAACUCUGAAAUUUAGGAGUUAAGGAGACUGAGUUUACAGGAAUGCACUUGUAACUGUAGACAGUUACGGUUCGAAGACCAGGGGAAUAGAGGGUUAGUUUUGGAAUUUGUGUUGACAGCAGUAACCGUAGAACACCGAGUGAAGACUUUUAAACUGAAAAAAUGAAAAACGUGUACAUUUUCUUCCUUCAUUUUUAGUCUCUCUUUUGAAAAUAUUCUUCUUUGUAAAAAACCCACAAAAUUAUUAUUAUUAAAUUACAUUUGGAAAGUUCUCACUAUAGAUUAUAUGAUUUACAUGAAAAUAAACCCAUCAUUCGAGAUGAAAUCAUAUCAAAAUAAUAUAUAGCCUAAUCAAGUUCAGCAAACCUAAUUAGUGAUGUUAAGUUUGGUUUAACAAAGGAUUUAAACCCUCUAAAUAUUUUGAAUCGAACAAAAAACUUUCAACUAAUAAUUUAAUUUUUUAAAAAAAUUCUCAACUUAUAAAUUGCUAAUGUCAAUCAUUUUCUGUCUAUAAUAUCGUUUAUUUUAGUCAAAAAUAAUUAAAUAUUUUAUAAUGACAUCUACAGUGUGAUUUAGACUUUCAUUAGUCAAACCGAACUAUUUGAUUAGUCUUUACUUUUGAAUCUGAUAUCGGCCCAUCAAUUGAAUAUUAAAAUAUGGUUUAGAUUUUGUUGGACGUUUGUAACAUCUCUUACUUGAAACAAAGUAGUAAACUGGAUUAAAUAAGAAUUAUUGGAUGUUGUAUUUUAAUGGAUUCAAAAAUCCGAACUAAAUCUAGUGUUAUUGGUUCUGUGAUUUUCAAAUCUGUAUUAAAAUCAGGUGUUAUUGGUUUAAUAAUUCAUAAAUUCUAUAUCAAAUCAAGUGUUAUUCAAUCGUACAGAUUUACUAAUAUAUUUGAUUUUAUAAUAGAUUUGAAUGGAUUUGUUUAGAUUUUUUAGUUAAAAAUACAAAGACUCAAAUUCGAGAAAAAACCUCCGAAUUUGCAUAUUUUACUUGGAUUUAUAAAUACUAUAUGAAUUUCUAAAUCAAUCAAAAUAUAUAAACCAAUAACACCUCCAAAAUAUCCAACGAAAUAAAACAAGCAAAGAAGAAAGUGUUAGAAUCUAUUUAGAUAACUCAAUUGGAAACCUAUUUAUAGAAAUAUAUUUCUUAUCUCUGCACAUCUCAUCAACAAUUAGAAAACGGAUGCAUGAUGCAAUAAAUUUGAUUUCUAGAAUCUAGUUAACCGGAUAAUAAUCCAUAAACUAAUUAACUAAAUCGGUUCGGUUUUACAACAAGUGGUAAUUAAUCGAAGAGGCAGCAAAUGAAAGCAAGCCACGUGGGAAACAUAGAGAGACAGAUAGAGAGGGAAGAACCACGUUUAGGUUUUUUAAUUGAGGUGUAGUAUAAAUACGUUUGAUCAGUGUUUUUGUAAGUGCCUUCACAACAUUCCUUCUUCUUCUCUCACUCUCUUCUAGCCGCAAACGGCAAACCUCCACAGCUCCACUACUAACUAGGUGAUCUCGCACCUCUUAUUAAUCCCAACUCUGUUGUAUCUAAACUAUAUGUUUUGAUUCUUUAUGACGUUUUACUCAUUUUCUUUGCUUAGUGUGGUUGCAAAGGUCUUGACCUUUUGUUCUUCUUGUUGUUGUUGCCUUGUGAGCUCCAGCUUCGUUAUUAGCUAUGGACUAUAGCUUUUAUUGUUUCCCUGGUUCAUUUUUGUAAUGGUUUAGAGCUUCUUUGAGCAUAAUUGUGAACGUUUAUAUGAUUAGCUGUAAGGAAACCGUUAAGAUUCAAGUCUAUAGUCUACAAUAAGAUGUUAUCAAUCUGAAUGUUUAUAUGAUUAGCUGUAAGUUGUAACAUAAGUAUAUAUACUCACGGUGGUCUUUCAUCGCCAGGUAACUGUAUUGAGAAACAUCAACCAUGGUUUUCAACUUGAUCAGGUUCUAAUGUAAGAUAAGAAGAGUAUGUGUAAACGGUUAUAAUGAAUGUGGCUGAACCACAUAUGGAGCUCAACCAAGAAAGUCAACAGUUAAAUGUAGAGCAGAGUCUUGGAGGAAGACAUGAAGAAUGUGUCCUUACCAGAGCUAAUACAGGUGAGGAACUGGAGGUUGAUAUAGUUGAAUCUGAUGAAAACAACAUAGCCACCACGGAUGAAGAAGAUCCAGAUGCUACUGAAUAUUCAAGCUCGUUCUCCGACACUGCAUCUGAGGAUGCUGACAUGUUGUGUAAUGGACUGGCCGAAGAAUAUGCUGAGGUGGAAUCUCAUUAUUGGGAUGAAACUGACUUAGGACCUGCUUAUGAUUCCUUUAGCAGCAUUUUUCAUUAUAGGUCUGUGUUUCUGCUGCUCCAUUGUUUCUUGUUUUAUCUCUCUGUGUGUCUCUUAUGUUUGUGUCUUUUGUAGGAAGAAAAGGCUAACAAGUCACUGGAAGAGCUUUAUACGGCCAUUGAUGUGGAGAUCCAAGUGGGUUGAGUUAAAGAUUAGGGAGUUAGAGUCUCGAGCCUUAGAAUACCCAAAGGAGCUUGAAUCAUUGGAUCAAGAAAAGCUUGGAGCUAAUAUUGAUCCAUCUGUGUUGGAAACCUAUGGCAAGGGAAUCAAGUCAUUACCGUUUUCUAAUCCCUCUUACAGAAAAAGAGCAGCAAAGAGGAGAAGAAAGCGUAAGAAGGUUGAGAGAACAGACGAUAUCGCUUCAUAUAUGUCCCAUCAUAACCUCUUUUCUUACAUCGGUAAGGGGCUAUAACAUAACAACUCAUAAUGUCUGUAUUGCUUUGAGCAUAUCAUUCAAUGUACUGUUAUGGUUUUUGUUUCAGAGACCAAGAGGUUGAGCUCAGAUGGAAUGUCAGUGGCUGAUGACUUUGCUGUCCAGGAUACACUGAUUGAGUCAAAGGACCGGGUGGCUUUAGAUGAAGAUGACUCACUUUUCGACCACCGAGAUGGAGAUGGUGUCUUGGAAGAGGUUCUCUGGAAGAUAGAGCUGGUGCAUUCACAUGUUCAUAGGUUGAAAACUCAAGUUGAUCUUGUGAUGUCUAAGAACGCAGCAAGAUUCUCUUCCUCAGAGAAUCUGAGCCUUCUUGCUGCAAGCUCUGCGCCUAGCCCCACGGUUUCUGCUGGAGGAGAUGUGAUCUCUAUUGAAGCAGUUUACAACUCUUCUCACCUCAUGCAAGACUACGUUCUUGGAGAUUUAGUGUUCUCAUCUGAAGGAAUGGCUUCAAGCUACGGAGAUGCGUUUCACAUUCCUGAUAUAAUCGAAAGUACUGUUGGUCUAUUUGCAGAUGCAGAUGUUACAUUACAUCAUCCUCAAGUUGGAGACUCUUGUGAAGAUGUAAGUUUGUGAUUUUGCUUUUGUUAUUAUACUUAAGAACAUCUUCUUUUAUGUUGUUUGAUUCGGCUAACUGCAGAUUUUGGAUAAUAUAUUUAUUCGAAAUGGAGUGGCUGAAGAAAUGAAUGCUGAUUUGAUGGAAACUAGUAUCCAAGAAGAAGGUGAGAAACCUGAGGAAGGAGAAGGAACCAGUGUGCUACCAUUGCAGCAACUUCAAGAAACAGAGCAAGAUUCGGUUCUAAGAUCAUGUUUGGCUUCUGAGAGGCUUGUUGUUCCUAGGAACAAAAGGACAAGAUGUGGAGAACGUAAAGCGAGUUCUUGGUGCAAGAAACAUCUCAGCGAUCCUGAAAGCCAGUGAUUGCUAAAAGAAAAAACUCAGUAAGCUUGAUUCUACUGAGCCACAGCGACUAUUCUGAAGAUUCUUUACUUGUCUUUUUUCCUCCGCUUCCUUACUUUCAGAUUGUGUGUUUGCAGAAUCAUCAACUUCGUUUUUUCAUAUCAUUAUUUUCUUUUCUGUUCUGUGAUGUUGAUGAAAAAGUUAGACAGAAGACACAAAGUGUGUAUAAUUAAGCUUUAGAUUGUAGCCUGAUUACAAGUUAUUCAAAUUCAGCCUGGUUCUGAAAACAUAUGAAGGUUUAUGCUUUCUAAUUCUUACCAGAUAUGGAUCCGACCGGCCGAGCGGGUUAUUAUUCCUCUUACUAAAAUUGAAACUGACAUAAAAUAAAUUAGUAUCUUAGUGAUAUCAAUUCAUUAGAAAACGAAAUUAGUAUUCUUGUUACUAUAACUAGAUUCAUUUUCCGCGCUACGCGCGGAUAGUAUCUUAUAAAUUUUAAAUUUAAUUUUUGUUAAAAAAUAUUUAAAAUUUAAUUUACAUUAUUUUAUACCAAAAAUCAUAAAUAAGGGUAAGAAUUGGUUGAUUUUAUUUGUGAUUUUUUGACAAUAUUAAAUUGAUUGAUUUAUUGCUCAUAGUUAACAUGUUUGUUUGAUUGGUUUUCAGUUCAAAGUAAUGUAUAGUAUUAUAUUUGGUGAGUGUAUAUAUGUUGUGUUGUUCCAAUAUUUGAAUUUUCAUGUUAAAACAAUACUAUUCAAAUUCAUGACUUUUAACGAUUAGAUGUAUGUUUUGUUGUUUUCUCUUGUAUACAUACAAAUUUAAUUUAUUUUUAUUGAAAGUUUUGUUUAUUGAUCAUAGGCAUAUUAAUAUAGAUUUUUUUUAUCUCGGAAUUUUACAGCAUUUGUUUUUGUAUACUCACAUUUUUUUCAUAUUUUCAGUACCUAGUUAUACAAAUAAUACGUACGUGUGUUUUUUAGAAGAAGUUUUGAUCCCGCAAACUUGAGCAAAACUCUUCAUCAUGUCAGUUCAUCCAUGUUUUCCUAUAAACUUAGAUUCAUUAUAUGUCUCGUUAGAACCCUUUACGUAUCCACAGAUGGUUUUGCCUAUUAAUUAUAUAAAAGAUAUUACAUUGGACUGAAAAUGGUGACUGAUAAUAAACCAGCUAACAGAUAUGUUUAUUUGUGUACGUGCAAAUCUUACCUAAAAAGUAAGGUGCAACUUUAUUGGUUGUAUACAAAAUAUGUCUUGAAAUCGUAACAGAACUAUCUUCUCUAUUAAAAUCAAAACAAAAGAGUAAAGCUUCAAUUCUUCAAUACACACAACCAAAUUACAUAUCUGAUUGAUGUCUUGAGCUAGACUCAUACGAAGAAACACCAUGUCAUAAAUCUACGUAGAAGCUUGAUUUGCUUUGACGGGGAUUUGUCAGUGAACAUAAGUCCAAGUGUAAUUACUUGCUUAAUUUUCUCCAACGUUCUCUCUUCAAUCUUCAUAUUCUCAUCAACCACUCUUUCUCUAAGUUAUCCGACCAUAAACUCUUAUUUACUCAACAUACCUCCUUUCUGGAUCUUCUUUUUCCUCACCAGGUUUAAGAUUUGUAAUCAUUUCCAAGAUAAACAAUCCAAAGUUAAAUAUAUAUGUAGAUGAUUGAUAUCUUGCAUAUUUACAUUGUUUUAUCAAUUUAUUCAUGUGCAUUUUCAUCAUAUAGAUUAGGAUUUAGCCAUGUCUAGGUUGCAUUUUGCAUACAUAUGUCUCUAUUAGGUAUUGGAGUACCACAUGGAGUUCCUGGAGACAUUUGGGUGCAUUUGGAGCUCAAAGGAGGUGAUUAAAGUGAUCUUUGGACGAGCACUGCCUGGAGCGACCUCUCAGAGCGACCUACCAAGGUCGCUCCCAGCCAGAGCGACCAGCCCAGAGCGACUAUCUCAAGUCGCUACAGCCAGAGCGACCUACCGGAGCGACACCCAGGGGUCGCUCGGGUUGUGUCGAUUUGAGAGCGACGAACAAGCCGGGAGCGACCUCCUAGAGCGACACCCUAAGUUCGCUCGUGUUUAUGGUUUCUGAGCAAGCCGGGAGCGACGUCUUCAGAACGACACAGCCAGGUCGCUCGCGAGGAGACGACCCGGGAGCGACGUCUUCGGAGCGAUAUAGCCAGGUCGCUCUAGGAGAAACGACCCGGGAGCGACCUCUCGCAGCGACGUGCCGAGGUCGCCCCGCGUCUAUUUGUUUGGCCGAAUUCAUGUUUUCUAAAGGUCCUUUUGAUCAUUUCAUUAUGCACGUUUUUACUUUUCAAAACCUAUGUUUUAAGUACCUUUUGUAGCUACCAGAGGCGAGAUCUCUUUUUGGAGAAGAACAACUAGUAAAACUUCUUUUGAUUAAGAUUUCAUUGCUUUCAUCUUGUGUUCUUGUUGAUUUCUUGUCUAUUUCUCUACAUGAUUAAUCUGAAAUCCAAUAUGAGUUUAAGAGGAAUCAUGGAGAUUAGUGAGUAAUCACUUUUUGAAUUCAUGGGUUAGAGAGAUUAAGGGUGAUUAGGCUAGUUCUAGGAUGUUUUAGUGUAGAUCAUUCUUGUUCCUUGCUAGUAGAGUAUUCAUAAUGCAUCUUCUGAGUUGGCCACUCAAAAGUUGAUCAAUAGGCAUUUCCCACCCAAAAGGUGUUUGAUGAAAUGCCAGAGACAACUCUCCUAGGCUCUUAGUAUACUUUGCCAAAGACAUUUGUUGUUAAAGAUGCUAAGAUAGCUAAUAGACUUGUUAGUAAUGAUUGCUUUCACAUUAUUCAACCAAAGACAUUUGAUGUUUGGGAUAUGUUAGCAAAUGAGCAUUCAUCUAGACAUAGAGCUUGCUUAGAAUUGUGUCUAGGCUUAAGGUCGAUAGUUUGAUUGAUCAUUUGCCAUCCUUAGUUCGAAACUUGAUCACCCAAGGUCUAAUCCCUAUGCCCAUGAGUUCUCUUUUCCCUUAGUCAAGAAAGUAUCAUUCUGUAAUUGCUUUCUAGUAUUAGUAGUAGUUUAAAACCCAUCUAAAUCAUUGGUUGCACUUAGAUUAAGUGAGUACUUGCAUUCUCGGUGCUUUGAUGUCCCUCAGAACUGGUUCGACAAUCAUUUAUACUACAACAUUUGUCUUAGGAGCCUUAAAAACUUCUAACAUCAAAUUGGCGCCGUUGCCAAAUUCUGAGUAGAUUUGAACAUUGAGAUUUAGUCACUUGCUUGAGACUAAGUCAUUUUAAUUUUGUUUUGUUACUGAUUCUUCUUCUUCACCUACCUUUAACUUUCAGGUGUAUGAACUUGGGGAACAGAGGUCCAUCAAACCUAGUUCCAAUAGUACCAGACAUCAGAGCUUUAGAGAGAGAGUGUGCUAGAGCUAGAAGAGAAGAAGAACAACAAGCCCACUUGCAGAGAUUGGAUAUUGAUAUGGCAGAUCCACCGCAAGGGGCAGAACACCAACCGCGGGCAGCUCGACCCAUUGGUACUUAUAACCGGCCCAACAUUCAUGGUCAUAUACUGGGAAUCCGAGCACCGGCUGUGGCAGCCAACAACUUUGAGGCCAAGUCAAGACUCCUCAACGUGAUCGAGAACAACAAGUAUCAUGGCUUGGCUCUAGAUGACCCAUUUGAUCACUUGGACAAGUUCGACAGCUACUGUGGGUUGUCAAAAACCAAUGGUGUGUCCAAAGAUGCCUUAAAGCUCAAGCUAUUCCCUUUCUCUUUGGGGGAUAAGGCACGUCAGUGGGAGAAGUCUCUACCCAGCGACUCUAUCACCACUUGGGAUGACUGCAAGAAAGCAUUCUUGGAGAAGUUCUUCUCUACUUCAAGAACUGCUAAGCUGAGAAAUGAGAUCUCUAGCUUUCAACAGAAGGGCUUGGAAGGCUUCAGUGAAGCCUGGGAGAGAUUCAAGGGCUACUAAGCUCAAUGCCCACACCAUGGUUUCUCUAAGGAGAGCUUGUUGAGCACAUUCUACCGUGGUGCUCUUCCUAAGUACAGGGCCAGACUGGAUACAGCUAGCAAUGAGUUCUUCUUGGGGAGAACUGAGGAAGAUGCAGAGGAGCUGGUUGACAACAUGGUAAAGAGUGAUGCAGUCUACAGUGGAGACCACGACAGAGGCAGUCGAACAGAUGAUAAGCAGACGAGGAAGGAGUUGAAAGCUCUACAAGAUAAGAUAGACAUCCUCAUUGCUGAUAAAGCCACCUAAGAGCAGCUGCACUUUGUUGGUAACCCAAGCCAAGAGACACCACCUGUUGUCCAUAAGGUUGAGGGUUUGGAAGGUCAGGAAGAGCAGUGUUUCAUCAACAACAAUGGUAGUUGGUACAAAAAAGAGCCCAACUUUCAGUACAACAACUACCAACAGAAAUCCUAUCCCAACAACCAACAGAGUGGUUAUCCGCCUCGAAACAACCAGCAAGGCAGCUAUCAGCCUCAGCAAAACCCCUCGUCUGGUUCCUCUGCUCGUCAAGAGAGCAACACUGAUACCUUGCUGAAACAAAUCUUGGAGUCUUAGACUAGAAGUGAGAAGCAUGUUGGUUAUGAAUUGAAGAACCUUCAUUCUAAGAUUGAUGGGAGCUACAAUGAGCUCAACAACAAAUUCUCACAUCUUGCUUCUACAGUCAAGAAUUUAGAGAAUCAGUUUGCUUCCAUGAACACUCACCAGAAUCGACAACAAGGAUCUCUACCUGAAAAAUCUGACCAAAACCCCAAGGAGGCCAAAGCUAUCACCCUUAGGAGUGGUAAGCAGUUACCUCCUACAACCCUCACCAGGGAUGCUGAGAAACUAGGUGAGAAGGUGGCCAUCAACUUAGAUGAUGAAGUGGUGAUUGUUUAUGAGAAAAUCAAUGAUGAAAUCUUGGAGAAGAUUGUGGAAGCCAAAGGUAAAGGAAAGGUUGGGGAAGAGAAGAAAACAGUGAAAGAUGGUGAAGUUGUUGCUCCAGCAAGUGAGAAUUCUUUUCUUCCUCCUCCCUAUGAACCCAAACUUCCAUUCCCUGAUAGAUUCAAGAAGCAGCUGCUAGAGAAGUACAAAGCUCUGUUUGAGAAGCAAAUGAGUGAAGCUCAGGUUGCAAUGCCCAUCAUCGAUGCUUUCAUGUUGAUUCCUCAAUACAACAGGUUCCUGAAAGAUGUUGUAGCUGCAAAGAAGAAGGAGAUGGAAGGUAUGAUGAUUCUUACCCAUGAGUGCAGUGCCAUCAUUCAGAGGCUUGAUGUUCCGGAGAAGUUAGAGGAUCCAGGAUGCUUUACACUACCUUGUGCUCUUGGACCUAUGGUAUUUGAGAAAUGUCUCUGCGAUUUGGGAGUUAGUGUCAGCUUGAUGCCUUUGUCUGUUGCAAAGAAGCUUGGAUUCACUCAGUACAAGAAGUGUAGACUCUCUCUGGUGUUAGCUGAUCGUUCGGUGAAGUACCCUGUGAGCAUCUUAGAGGACCUCCCUGUGAAAAUUGGAGGGUAUGAGAUACCUACAGAUUUUGUGGUGCUUGAGAUGGGUGAGGAACUUCAAGACCCAUUGAUUCUAGGAAGGCCAUUCUUAGCUACAACAGGAGCUAUUGUUAAUGUGAAGGAAGGCACGAUUGAUCUCCAUUUGGGUAAAGAGAACAUCCUCCACUUUGACAUCAAGGGGAAAAUGAAGAAACCAACUGUGUUCGGGCAAGCCUUCUACAUUGAAGAGAUGGACACUCCUGCUGAUGAGCACCUUGAAGAGUUACCACCUGAGGACGACAAGGAGGGAGCAUCUCCCUCUACUCAUUCCCCAUAGAAGGUAACCCACUACUUUCCCUUGUAUAUACCAUUUCGUUUUUGCAUAUUAGUUUUCUCUUUUUGGGUAUCUCUCUCUCCUUGACAACACAGAGACUGUGUCAUUUAAGUUUGGGGGAGGUACCAAGUAUUUGAUCAUGUUUGCUUUGAUGUGGUUUUAUUGAGUCAUGCAUUGCAUACCUAUUUGCAUAAAAAAAAUCAUUUAGUUUGCAUCAUUUGCAUUUCUAGGAGAGACUAGAGCAUAUAGGUAGCAUUUACUUGCAUUGGGAGCAAUGAUUUGAAUGCCUUGUAAAGAACAUUACCUUGCACCUGAGUAGCUUAUGCACCUCUCAAAAAGACUUGUAUGCUUCGAGCCUUGAAAACUCUUCCUGAAACUUGUUGAUUGCUGAAACUCAACCUUUGAAGCCAACUACAACCUUGUUUGAACUGAAUGAACUUAAUGCUUCUUGCUUAUAGUCCCUUGUGUACUGAGUCAUGGAUAUACACACUUGAGUUGUCACAUCCUUUAUGCCAAUCUUUUUGACAAACUCGAGUGGUACACCAUUCCCAAAGCCCUUCCCUCCUUUUAAGCCUUCAUUGAUUGAUGAGUGAGACCUUUUUCGGAAAGUCUUACAUGCACAUAAUGUUGAGAGUAUCGGGAACGACAAUGCUUGAUCUUCAUUCUUGCUAGAUUAGGCAUAUUAUUGUCUAGCCAUAGGAUGGGGGUGAGUGUUGUAAAGUUUGAUUUGGGAGUAUGAGAAAGUUGAAGGAAAAGAGUGAACUUUUGUGCUUAAUUGACUAGUCUUUAUGGGAUAAGUAGAGAAACUUCUAGCUCAAUUUGUGAAAAGUCUUGGCCCCCAAAAAAAAAAAAAAAAAAAAAAAAAAAAAAAAAGAAUAAAGAAAAGGGGGCUAUCAAAAUUAGUAUGAGAUAAGAGAUGUUCAAAAAGUGUAAGAAAUCCCUUGUUAAAAAAAAAAAAGAGUUUUAUGUUGGGAAAUGCUUUUGGAGUCCUUGGGUGAGAGAUGUGAGUUGGGUUUGGAAUGGAGAAAUGAAUGUGUAUCAUAUAUGUUUGGGAAAAGGGUAGAACAAUGGGGAUUGAGCAUUGUAUGCAUGAGUUGAUCCAUUUCUUAGAUAUAUUAUGUGCAAUGUCAAGGCUACUUGUCUUGAGAGUAUACCACCUUAAAUAUCAUAUAUCUUGAACCCCUUGACUCACUUGAUUAAAAAGCCUCCCCUUACCCAAAUGAUUUGGACCAACUGACCAUUUGCAAGAAUUCACUUGAUGCUAUGCUUAAUGAACUUGAGAGUUGGCUGAUUUGCAUGUGUGAAUGCAUGAUGAUGAGUGUAGGGAUGAAAAGAGUUGAGAUAGGCCUAGAGAAGCUAGAGUAUAAUAAAAGAGGGUGUACUAAUGCUGAAUUUAGAUGUUGAUUUGAGUGCUUGUGUGUUUCUUUUGGCUAUGAGCUCCCACCUUCAAACCUCUCUCCCUAUGAGUUCUACAAAGUUCACUUGAGGACAAGUAAAAGAAUAAGUUUGGGAGAGUUGAUAUCUUGCAUAUUUACAUUGUUUUAUCUAUUUAUUCAUGUGCAUUUUCAUCAUAUAGAUUAGGAUUUAGCCAUGUCUAGGUUGCAUUUUGCAUACAUAUGUCUCUAUUAGGUAUUGGAGUACCACAUGGAGUUUCUGGAGACAUUUGGGUGCAUUUGGAGCUCAAAGGAGGUGAUUAGAGUGAUCUUUGGACGACCACUGCCUGGAGCGACCUCUCAGAGCGACCUACCAAGGUCGUUCCCAGCCAGAGCGACCAGCCCAGAGCGACUAUCUCAAGUCGCUCCAGCAAGAGCGACCUACCGGAGCGACACCCAGAGGUCGCUCGGGUUGUGUCAAUUUGAGAGCGACAAACAAGCCGGGAGCGACCUCCUAGAGCGGCACCCUAAGGUCGCUCGCGUUUAUGGUUUCUGAGCAAGCCAGGAGCGACGUCUUCAGAGCGACACAGCCAGGUCGCUCUAGGAGAAACGACCCGGGAGCGACCUCUCGCAGCGACGUGCCGAGGUCUCUCCGCGUCUAUUUGUUUAGCCGAAUUCAUGUUUUCUAAAGGGCCUUUUGGUCAUUUCAUUAUGCACGUUUUUACUUUUCAAAACCUAUGUUUUAAGUACAUUUUGUAGCCACCAGAGGCGAGAUCUCUUUUUGGAGAAGAACAACUAGUAAAACUUCUUUUGAUUCAGAUUUCAUUACUUUGAUGUUGUGUUCUUGUUGAUUUCUUGUCUAUUUCUCUACAUGAUUAAUCUGAAAUCCAAUAUGGGUUUAAGAGGAAUCAUGGAGAUUAGUGAGUAAUCACUUUUUGAAUUCAUGGGUUAGGGAGAUUAGGGGUAAUUAGGUUAGUUCUAGGAUGUUUUAGUGUAGAUCAUUCUUGUUCCUUGCUAGUAGAGUAUUCAUAAUGCAUCUUCUGAUUGGACCACUCAAAAGUUGAUCAAUAGGCAUUUCCCACCCAAAAGGUGUUUGAUGAAAUGCCUGAAACAACUCUCCUAGGCUCUUAGUAUACUUUGCCAAAGACAUUUGUUGUUAAAGAUGCUAAGAUAGCUAAUAGACUUGUUAGUAAUGAUUGCUUUCACAUUAUUCAACCAAAGACAUUUGAUGUUUGGGAUAUGUUAGCAAAUGAGCAUUCAUCUAGACAUAGAGCUUGCUUAGAAUUGUGUCUAGGCUUAAGGUCGAUAGUUUGAUUGGUCAUUUGCCAUCCUUAGUUCGAAACUUAAUCACCCAAGGUCUAAUCCCUAUGCCCAUGAGUUAUCUUUUCCCUUAGUCAAGAAAGUAUCAUUCUGUAUUUGCUUUCUAGUAUUAGUAGUAGUUUAAAACUCAUCUAAAUCAUUGGUUGCACUUAGAUUAAGUGAGUACUUGCAUUCUCGGUGCUUUGAUAUCCCUCAGAACUGGUUCGACAAUCAUUUAUACUACAACAUUUGUCUUAUGAGCCUUGAAAACUCCUAACAUCAAUGAUAACACAAACAAAAACACACGUAACUUGAAAUUUUUGUAUUUUAUAUUUUCGAAGAAAAAGACAUUACUUGAUGAGUAGGUUUCAUCUCCAUGAGUAGGUUUCAUCUCCAAUCUUGAAUUGAGAAAUCAAUGGUUCUUUAUCAUCAUCGAUAACAAAACACUACUUGCAUUCAGAUCAAAUAUAAUCUCAGGCCAUUUUUCGAAUAGAUAGAACAUACCUUCUACAACUUCUAUAACCACUCCUAAUCUUCUUCUCCAUGACGCAGUCAAUGAAGAAUUGAGCGUAAGUCUCUAAUAUUUUCUCCACCGGUCGAUUCUGUAACCAAAGCGAUCAAGUUACUGCUAAAAAUCUUACCAAAUUCUUGUGUCUUAGCUUAAAAACACACGCCUUUUCUCUUUCGAAACCAUCUUUAUGUAAACCUAACAUGUCCCGUUUCUUAACGUUCCUCUAUAGUCUGUAGAUAUCCGCUCCAUUGCUCUUCCUCACAAUUUUUUGUUCCCAGAACUCAUUUGACACUGCAUCGAGCAUAGGCGGAUGUGAAUUUGAGGCUUCUCCGGCAUGUUCGUGGUAAGCAAUCAUGUCUUUUUGAGAGAUAACCAUCCUAAGCAACAGCAAAACGUAGAUGUCAUAAGAAGAUUAGAAACUUACGAACCUUUGAUUCCUAUCAGUUUUAGAGACUCCAUUUAUCUUUAAAUCAAGCUUAAGUAGGUGUCUUUAUCUAUUUAAGAAAUGAGAAUCUAAACGUAGAGUUAAUCAUGGUUUAAAUGGAGGAAAAAGAUAAGUGAGUACCUACUACACGUUUCACUGAAUUUUCGGUAGAACUCGCCAGCAGGGAACUCUAAGAAUGUAGUGGGAAAAGGGAACAUGAGAGAGCCAAUGUGGAUGAUGAUCUUUACAGAAAUCGAUUGUCACGUACUUGGUUCCGAUAAGGAUGCCUCCUUUGGAAUUAUUGCAAGCUUCCCAAAAAUGGAUUAGUCUAAACAUCAACUUGGAAUCUCAUGGUCCUGCUGNNNNNNNNNNNNNNNNNNNNNNNNNNNNNNNNNNNNUGGUCCUGCUGAAACAAAAGUGGAGAAUGGCUUGUAUUGCACGGUGGCGACUGCCGUUUGAUUUGCCAUAGUGCUGGGAUGCGUUUGCUGAGGAAGAGAUUGUUGGGUUGGGAUAUAUAUAUAUAUAUAUAUAUAUAUAUAUAUAGUCUCAAUAGGGAAAGGAGAGAGAUGUGAUGUGUUUCAUUUAAGUGAUUAAUUAAGGGAUCUUCAAGAGGCAUUGAUAUCAUUGGGUAAGAGGAGGGGUGUGGAAAGUUACACGCCGAUUUGUCUGGAGGAUAGCUUUUAUUCAUCAUUGUUGCCGUCGCAGGCGUUAUACAUAGGAGAUGGGAAGACGAUGAGUUUUGGAUGGUCUGUAGAUGCCGUGACAACUUGGGUUAGAGGAAGAGGAAAGUAAGACAAACUGGUCAUUAAAAUUAAUGGACCUAUUACGUAGCACAGAUUCGUGGUCCAACAGCUUAACAUCCUUGAUGACAUGGACAAAUGAUUGGUUAUGAAUAUUUUGUCCUAUGUGGCACACCUAGAAUUGCUUCAAUUUAGUUCCUUUUAUAUAGUAGUGAUUGAAACUGAAUAAAUGAGUGUAUUUAAUUUAUAAUCCCACAAAAAAGAAGUUAGGUCCACAAGAAUGUUAGAGACCAGAUUACAUAGCGGUCAUCCAUCGGUUCAAUCGGUUAGUUUCGGGUUUUAGUGAUUUUUACAGGUUUUAAAUAUAGAUUUUUUUUUCUAACGUAUAUCGAAUCAUCGGAUUAACGGUUUUACUGCGGGUCCGGGUCAAAUUUAAAAGCACUGAUUUAAAUGAAAAAAAUAUUUUAAAUACACAAAUUCCAUAGGAUAGUCAUUUUUAGUUUAUUUUCACAAAAUAGCCUUAAGGAUGAAAAUGACCAAAAUAAGUUUUAUUAAAGGGUAAAAAUACAUUUUUAUCCGAGGAUUAAGUAAUCCAGAUUUAGAGUUUAGAGUUAAAGGGUGGAGUUUUGAAGAUAUGAUUUCAAAUAUUUUUAAAAUAAAAAAUAAAUUUUAAAAAUUUCAAAAUAAAAAUGAGCUAUUUUGGUCAUUUUCUUCUUUGAAAUCUAUUUUUAUGACAAAAACUUAAAAAUGACUAUUCGAGAGGAUCGCCCUUUUUAAUUUAUCUAUAACUUAUUAAAAUGAUAAAUUACAUAUCUUAUUUAUUUUAAACAUGUUUAUAUGUAUGUUUAAAUUUCAACAAAUAAUGAAAUAAAUAUUAAAUAAUGCAAGAUUUGCAUAAAUUUUGAACCAUCAGCAAAAGAGAUAAACUAAUUAUACAUAUAUAUAUAUAUAUGUAUAAUAUAUUAGUAUAAUCAAAUUAUUAUAUUUUUGUCAAAUAUUUUAAAAUAUAAUUUUAGUUUGAAGAUUAAAAGUGAAAAUCAUAUUUUCACAUUACUAUGCAUGAGUUUUACAUAAGACAAAUUAAUCGGAUAUCAAAACAUUUUCUCAACUUUAUUUAUAUAGAUAUUCGUUUAUUACAUAGUUGUUUAUAUUUAUUGUUACUUUUAUAGUAAUUAGAAAUCUAAAAAGUAUCAGCAAGAUUAAGAAUGAAUUAAUUUUUCAAAGUGUUGUAUAAAAUAUUGUUUACAGUUUUUACAAUUUUGGGAUGCUUUAAGAGUUUUGAAAAUUUAGAUUGUGUUAAUGAGUAUUAAAUUUAAUCAGAUAUAUGUUUUCAUUUAAUUUUACAUGACUAUAGGUAAAAGUUUAAUAAUUUUAAAAGGUUAUCUGUACAUUAAAAUAAAACUAAUUAAAAACUAAAGUAAACAUUAACAUAAAAAUAAUUAAAAAUAAACAAUACAUAAGUAAAACAUAAGCAAAUUUUGAACAAAAAUUAAAGAAAAUUUAUGAAAAUAAAAUUUUUAGAUUUCAAUUCAAGAUGGAAGGUACACUGCCACAUGGAAGUAAUAUUGCAAUUAAGAAAAUGAACCAAUCUGUUAUUACUGGUAAAAGCAACAAUGACGGUUAUUGUUUGUAAGGACAUCAGUGAAUUUAAGUUAAAGGUUAGUGUUCUAACUAGAGUUUAUCACUGCAACCUAUUAUCUUUUAAUGGGUGUCCCAUUGAAGGAAAUGAGAGGUCACUAGACUAUCAAUUCAUGCCCCCAAGAUACUUUGAGUAGACAUCUAUUUCACUGGAAUGACCAUGGUUUGACACCACUAGAUUGGACCACACGUCUUACUGUUGGAUUGGAUGUGACUUCGGGCAGGCUCUUCAAUAUCAAAGCUACAUCCACGUGGACCUGAAAUCAUUAAACAUUCUUCUUAGAAGAGUGACGAGCCAAAAUAUUCAACUUUUCUUUAGUGAUUGCUAAAGUAAAAAGUAGAGAAUCAAUCAAGAGCAAAUGUAUUUGGAGAGCUGGUUAAAUCACCCAAAAGUAUUGAAUAGUUUUCUCAUUCUUUUGUCAAUAUUUAUUCGAUUCUAACAUGUAAAUUAUUUUGCUAACCAAUGAAAUCUUUGUAAUUGUGGCGAGCGCUUUGGUGUCAUCCUCAUGAAGCUCAUAACCAUCAGAAAGCUAUAGACCACACGCGAUCCGGAGAUGAUAUCCACAUUAUAUCUUGGUUCAUAAAGAUGCUUAGUGUAGAAGACCAUUUUUCCAUUGACAAAACCAUUGAAGUCAACCAAAAGAUCCAACUAAGCACCUAUGAGCUAGGUGUUUAAACUAACAAAUCAAUAAUGUGCGAGGAAAUCUGAAUAGAGACCAGAUAUGGCUUAUGUAAUCAGUGUUCUUUUUCCUCGCUGAUUGAGAAGUGGAAACCAAGCACUAGAAUCCAAAAUUUGGACGAAGCCACUUCUUCUAGAAAUGAUAGCAGAUUCGGUGUAGCAUGGGAAGCAGUAGGGCUGGGCAAAAAAUCCGAAUCCGAAGAACCGAACCGAACCCGAUCCGAAAAAGUAGUACCGAAUCCGAACCGAAAUUGAUUAAAUAUCCGAACGGGUUCAAAAUUUUGGUAUCCAGAGAACCGAAACCGAACCCGACCCGAACCGAAGUAUUUCGGGUACCCGAAUGUAUCCGAAAUAGAUUUAUAUAUCUAAAUAUAUUAAUUAUUUUUAGAUUCAAUGUAUAUUAAAAACAUUCAAAAUAUAUAAGAUACUUUUAAGUUGUCUAAAAUACUUGAAAAUAUAUACAAAUAUUCAAAAGUAAAUUUCUAAAAUAGUAUAAAAUAUACUCAAAAACCAAAAAUAGUUGAAAUGUCUACUGAUUGUCUAUCAAAAUAUUCAAACAAACCAAUUUAUAUGUUAAGUUUAGGUACUCUGACAUAUGUUAUUCAAGUUUAUAUGUUAUAUAGUAUUUUAUUUACAGAUUUUGAGAAAUUGAAACUAUAUAUUGAAUUUUAAAAUUUUAAAAAUCAUUUAAAUGGGUUAUCCGAACCCGAACCGAACCCGCAAAGAUCCGAACCCGCAAAGAUCCGAACCGAACCCGAACCGAAAUUUAGAAAUACCCGAAUGGAGCUAAAAUCUUUAACCCCGAAAACCCGAAACCCGAAUAAACCCGAACCGAACCCGAAUGGAUACCCGAACGCCCACCCCUAGUAAGCAGCAUUACAUUAUGAUGUGAAAUACUUUGAAGGAGUUGAGUUGGAUCUUAAUUGGCUAUUGUGAUUCUAGCGGGUUAGAAAACAACUGCAAUGUCAUGGACUUGGGAACUGGAAAGCUAUUAUGGUCACACUAACUGAAAUGUAGGAACAUAAAUGAAAGGAAGUACUCCAAUUGUUUGUUGUUCCCGGUUCUCGUUGUUUCAAGAUUUGCAUUUAGACCAAACACUCAGAUUUAUAUUUGUUGUUUUUGUGUCUUAUGCCUCGAAUUCGCCCUUCUUAUUUUAUUUUCUAAUGAUUUACAAAUAGGUAAUUUCAUGUGUCAUGCGCAACAUUAAAACUUUUAAAUUAAAUUGUUUAAAACAUAAUUUUGAUUUAUCAAUCUAAUUAUAUUUAAAAAUAAUUUAGAAUACAUAAAUUUUAAAUCUUAAUCAAAAUGAUCUUAGCUUGUGUUAUUUAAAUAAUUAGUUUACAAUUAAUUUUGAUAAAAUAUAGAUAUUUAUACAAAAUUUGCUAACUCUUAUCCUAAGUUAAAUUGGCAAUUUUCUUAUACACUGAGCUAUGCGAUCUUUUUAUGAUAGUGCAUAUGGGGAUAACACUAAGCAAUUAUUAUACUGUAUAGUUUUUAAAUUUAAAUAAAAUUCAAUCGGAAAACUUGAUUAGUUGCCUAUAUAUGCUGAUUUAUGAAUCUAAAUAUAAUUUUAAAUAUUUAACUAUGCAUAACUUUGACGUUAUUCAAAAUUAUCUUAGUUUUUGUUUGUCAAAAUAAACUUACAAUUAAUUUUGACAAAAUAGCUAUUUGAAAAAAUUAACUUCUAGACAUAAAUUUUGAAUUUAAUCAAAGAUUAUCUUAGUUCGUGUUUAAUAAUUUUGACAAAAAUAGAUAAUUAUAAAAAAAAUGUUAUAUUUUUUUUUUUUUUUGAAAAAGAAAAGGGUUAAACCCGGGUCUAUUAAAGACACAUACCUAACUCCCGGGUGGGAGGUGCAGCCCACGGAUAGACCUUCUCCCGGGUAUUCAAAUGGGCCGAAAUGCAAUAGCCCAUAUCCGUGUAGGUGACCAGGAAAAUAUGACUUAGUUUCGCAUUGUAGGUGGAUCGAACUUGAAAUGUGAUGAUAUCCAAGUCUUUCCUCUUACCACUUGACCACAAGCUCCCGGUCAAAAAAAUGUUAUAUUUUACCUUUGAAAAUUGUAAAACAAUCCAUGACAUUGUUAGCAUGUUUACGUAUCUGUCUUAUAAUGUCAGCUUAAAAAACCGUUCACACUACGAAUAAACAAAAGAUAAAAGUAUAACAACCAGUCCAGUGCGAACUAUCCGUCAUGUGUGCUCUAGGUUGGUCUGCAGGAUGGUUAAAAAUUGAGGUUUUGGGUUUGAAGAAAAACGAUAAGUGCAUCAAUCCCCUAGACUAUAUUUGCGAAUUGAUUUUGCCAUAUGUCCUUUCUACGAUCAAUUUCACAAAAUAAAUAUGACGUGGCUACUGAAAUUGAUGACAUGUUUUAUAGCUUAAUAUGACAUGGACAAUUAUAUUUAAUGUCAAUUUAUAUUUUUGAUAAACUUUUUAAAAUAUGGUAAUAACUCAUAUAUUACAUUUAAUGUCAAUUUAUAUUUUUUGAAUUUUUUUUUUAAAAUAUGAGAAUAACUCAUAAAUCAUCAUUAAAAUAAAUAUAUAUUCAAAUAUGACACUAUAAAUUUUGAAAUAUAAUUUAAUUAUAUAUUUUUAAAUUAUAUAAUUUUAUUACUAAAAUUUUCAAAAAUGUAUACAAUUUUUUUAGAAAAUUAUAAAAAUUAAUCGUAAAAUCAUUAUUUUCUUAUAUAUCUACAAAUUUUAUAAAUAUUGUUUAAUUUUAAUUUUUGGUAGUUUUGCAACUUUUGCAAAUUUAUUUAAUAUAUUUAAUUAAAAUAAAUAGAUAGAAAAAUCUAUCUAAGAUUAUAAUUUUAAAUAUAUACAUGCAUAUUCUUAAAUAUAAUUUUUAUGUUUAAUUAAAUCAAAUUUAUAUUAAAAUAUGGGCAAAUCUCCAAAAUAACACAUUUCUAAGUUUAUAUCACAAAAAUAGCACUCAAAAACUAAAAUGACCAAAAUAGCACCUUUUUAAGUUUAUCCUUUGAAAAUUUUAAUUUUUUUAUUUUUCAAAAUUUGAAAUCUUAUCCCCAAAACCUCAUUUCUCAACUCUAAACCCUAAAUCCUAAACUCUAAACCCUAAACCCUAAACCCUAAACUUUAAACCCUAAACUCUAAACCCUAAACCCUAAACUCUAAACCCUAAACCCUAAACCCUAAACUCUAAACCCUAAACCCUAAACCC
Molecule: long non-coding RNA, 27080 nt
Filed under: Brassica napus (rape)
Lineage: Eukaryota; Viridiplantae; Streptophyta; Magnoliopsida; Brassicales; Brassicaceae
Description: long non-coding RNA (BNAP_LNC018777)
Source: RNAcentral